AGUUUCACUCAUGCCCUCUCCCUCUAGUGUGGGAAAAGAAGAGGAACCUCCAAAAUUUCCUAACUGCACAAAGAAAUUGGAAGAGAAACAAGAAGUUCCCUUCUGCAAACUUCCUAAAAGGUGCCAUGUGUUUUCCUAAAACCAAGGAAAAUUCUAAAAUAGAACUACCAUAUGAUUCAGCAAUCCCACUUCUCUAAAUCUCCGGAAUCUCCAGGGAUUGGAACCAAGUGCUUUAUCUUUACCAUAUACCAAUCCAUGAAUCAACUCCAAAACAGAUCUCUAGAAACAGACAAGACUGACUACUGCCUGAAGGUUUCUGACACUAAGUUCCUGAUAUGUAUCAAAUAUGAAAUAAUUUUAGAAUUCGAUCUCAAAUGGCCCUUUUGCAAACUCCAAAAUGUUGUGUACAUGGAACAGAGGCUGUUAGGAAAUUUGCCUUGCAAAGAAACAACUUGUCAUCUACCUGUUUACCUCUAACAGAAGCUUAUACACAUAUGCAUGGGCUUGGAGAAAAUGAUAUUCACUUAAAAACAAUAUAAUAAUGACAUGUACAGAGCCAUAUAGCUCCAAAAGCUUUCAAGUGCUAUGUCCAUUUGUGAGGACAUAUUUAUCAGUCUAGUACUACCUUGUAACAGUACAAAAGUACAUUCACAUUAUUUUUCUAAAGGAGCUUAGUUCCUAGAGGGAAAAAUACACUCUUCUCAAAGUUUUAUAAUAAUAAUUAACAUACCCUAUAUGAUGUUUGUGAGACU
Molecule: long non-coding RNA, 752 nt
Filed under: Pan troglodytes (chimpanzee)
Lineage: Eukaryota; Metazoa; Chordata; Mammalia; Primates; Hominidae
Description: lincRNA
Source: RNAcentral